Molecule: unclassified non-coding RNA, 386 nt
Filed under: soil metagenome
Description: partial contains 5.8S ribosomal RNA, internal transcribed spacer 2, and large subunit ribosomal RNA
Rfam family: 5.8S ribosomal RNA (bases 1-120)
Source: RNAcentral
GAUGAAGAACGUAGCGAAAUGCGAUAAGUAAUGUGAAUUGCAGAAUUCAGUGAAACAUCGAAUCUUUGAACGCACCUUGCACCCUUUGGUAUUCCGAAGGGUAUGCUCGUUUGAGUGUCAUUGUACUCUCACACUUCUAAUUCCUUUCGGGAUUGGGAGCGGUGGACUUGGGUGUUGCUGCUUUAGUUGUGGCUCACCUCAAAUAAGUUAGUGCAACUCUUGGUUGGACAUAGUACGGCGUGAUAAGUGUCUUCGCCGGCGCCUCUGUAAGGAGGGUGGCCGAUCGGGAGCUCUGUGCUUCAAACCGUCUUCGGACAAUCUUUGACAACUUGACCUCAAAUCGAGUAGGACUACCCGCUGAACUUAAGCAUAUCAAUAGCGGAGGA